UGGAAACGCAGCCAACUGUAGUAGUUGAGCCCAGAGCUGGACGUCUCCAAAGGCCUUGGCCGGGCGACAUCUCCCGCGUCAUUCUGCUGGGCCACCGGGCCCAGGUUCUCUGACUGACAGGGAACUGCAGGCUGCCAGGCUUGGGUAGGGGAAGCUGUCAGUCACUAGGAAGGGGCGGGCCUUCUCCCCCAGGUCUAAUGUUAUUCAAUCUGCCAUCUCCAAGGUUAUGACAGCUCUGACUUGAUACUAACCCAGAGCCAGCCAACCUGAGCAAACCCCAGCCUGGCGUGGACGAGGCUUCUCUUAGAGGUGCAGCAGGGGCCAGUCCUACAGCCUAAGCGCAUUCGUUCAUUCACUUAGUUAUGAAGUUCCUACCAGUGUGCAAAAUCCUGCUCUCCCCAGGAUGCAAUGAUGAAAAAUGAAUGACCAAGAAGCUAACGUUUUGUUGAGGGUAGGAAAUCAGAGAUGCAAGUGACUGGAAAAUGCAAAGAAGGGUUGAAUUAGGGGCAGAAGAGGGAUUCAGAGUGUUCUAGGCCAAUUAUUUUUACUGAAGCUUUUUACUCCCCAGUUCCUUUCUGACAGCACCCCACCUUAAACCCAGACCCCCUAGGUCUGUAACAGAGACCUGUGUAGGUACCCAGAAGGAACCAACAUAUUGACCAUGUCAGAGGCAGCUACUGCAACUUGCCCACUUCAAGUCCACUCCCAGUUGUAAAUGGCUAAUACCUCUUCCCUCCCUCUUCCUCAAGCAAAAAUGAAUGAGACACAGGAGCCAGGGAAAGCAGCUUUUAUUCAAGGAGGGCUUAACUACUGCCUCAAGCAGAGGAGGUGACACAACUUUUCAUGUUGCAUUUCUUCAGGAUACUGAUACUUUUCCAAAUAGUGGGGAAGUGGUGGAAUCAUGGUCCCAAUGUCUGCCAGCUACUUUCAGCCCUGUCCCCAAAUGAUACCAGACUGAGUAGGAGCAAAGCUUAUUUGUAGCAAUGCAACCCAGAGGCCCAGUCACUGCAACUUCAAGGCAAAAGGCAGAGAAGACCCACUGUAUCAGCUGGGUGGAUGAAGGUGGUGAUGGCUGAAGGAGGCAGGAGCCGAGCACGUCAGAAGUUCAGACAGAGACAUUACUUUUCUUUAUGGUGGAU
Molecule: long non-coding RNA, 1139 nt
Organism: Phascolarctos cinereus (koala)
Lineage: Eukaryota; Metazoa; Chordata; Mammalia; Diprotodontia; Phascolarctidae
Source: RefSeq, a predicted model, not a curated record